CUAAAAAAGGAUUCAAGCCUCCCUUUAAUAUAAUACAUUCCAUUUCAGUUGGUUCUACAUAAAUGCAUUUGUUUUUUAAUUCCACAGGCAUACUCAAAUUAAAUCCACUGAGUUAACUUAAAAUGUAUUAUUAGUUUCGUCUUUGGCAUUUCUUACCAUAAAAUAAUUGAGUUGGAUUUACAGAACCUCUCUAUACGCAUGGGCGGAGAGAGUUCACUUUGUCUGCUACCAGUGACCAAGCGCCACUUCUGCAGCUGCGUGUGCUCAGUGGAUGUGUGACAUUGAGACAUCAAUUAGUACACAUAUUUGGGCAACAAGAAGACAAGUGAGACUUAGCUGUGUGUUAAAGUCUAUUUGUUUGAUCAGCUUCACCAAGCCUCUGCCUUGCUCUAACCUCCUAGUGCUGAGAAUGAAUGUGGAAAUGCAAAGAAUGCAGUUUUGAAGUAGGUAGCAGGUAUUUGUUGUUGAAGCAUUUUAGGCAGAGUCAUGGACACUUCAGGGGCAGUUUUCGUUAUCCAUGUGCUUAUACAGAUUGUCCUUGCACAUUUAAUACAUGGAGUAAGCUACUGAAUCACACAUACAAACUUCAUAGCAGACAGCAAACUCCAGAGCGAGUAGAAGGCUGUACUUUCCGGUGUCAUGUCUGCUCAUGCAGAGAACUAGCAUCAGAGAGAGAUUUUUUUCAACAUUUAAAUGGGCAUCUCAGGCAUGAUGAAACUGUUCCAUGUGUAUUCCUAGGGUGUACAUUUACAACUAAUAUUUAUAGCACGUUCAACACACACAAAAACAGAAAACACAACCAACAUUCAUUUAAAGACUUUAAAGCCA
Molecule: long non-coding RNA, 828 nt
Organism: Acanthochromis polyacanthus (spiny chromis)
Lineage: Eukaryota; Metazoa; Chordata; Actinopteri; Pomacentridae
Exons: 4
Source: RefSeq, a predicted model, not a curated record